RNAcentral lists this long non-coding RNA (510 nucleotides) under Capsicum annuum. RNAcentral's name for it is "long non-coding RNA (CANN_LNC016471)". Lineage: Eukaryota; Viridiplantae; Streptophyta; Magnoliopsida; Solanales; Solanaceae. The record is from RNAcentral.
AUAUCCAAUGCGGCUACUACUAAAUUGAAAUAAUCAGAUCAAGAACAUGAGAAUGCCCAAAAAAGAACUGAUCUAGACACAUCAUGGAAUGAUAUUAUAACGAUUACUUUAAAUAUUUGGAUAAUUAAAUAGACCAUUCAUAAUAACAACAUCACGUAAUAAUCGACUUUGACUAUUAAAUAAUGCAUGAAGUCAUUGAACAAACUUUAUUUUGAUUCACAAAUAAACUUAUAUAAAAAAAAAAGAUUAUGGAGUAAGAAUCUGUACGAAAAAUUAAAUCGAGUAUGAAAGUAAGAAUGUCGUCAUUGAAAGCUUGAAUGGAACCCGAUCUCAAACUCUAAUUCUUUUUUCUUCUUUUUGUUUUCUACUCCCCUCCGUUCUUUUAUUUUUUUUUCUUUGAUUCGUUUCUAUCUUUACUAAUCUCACUUCUCAACUUUGGUUGUUUUUCAUUUUUUUUCUUUCUCUGUGUUGUUGUCUUUUUUUUUUUCACAAAAUGUUUUUUUUUUUUUU